This is a long non-coding RNA of Anas platyrhynchos (mallard), 2369 nucleotides long. RefSeq lists it as uncharacterized. The record is from RefSeq and is a predicted model, not a curated record. Lineage: Eukaryota; Metazoa; Chordata; Aves; Anseriformes; Anatidae.
GCUUCCAGUGGACUUAAAAUCAGACCAUUAGGGUCUGAAGCUGCCCAUGAAUCAGGAAAAUUGUCAGAACCUGUAGGGAUUAUCUAGGAUGAUUAAGGAGAAUAUAACAUCAAAUCAAUAACAGAAAACCAUCCUGGUAGGAGUAGGGUCAAUAGCUUCAUACAAGCUUAAGUUUUUCCUAUUCUGACACUUAGAAAUGAGGUUUGCUUUAUUUGUACACUGGAAAAAUAACCUGUUGCUAAUGCAGGCACUCCUUGAAGCAAAACCAAUGAGGACAAUGAAAAUGACCCUGCAGCAAGAUGGAAUGGCUUGAGCACCCACGCUACAAAAGGAAGCCUGACAGAAUAAUAUGACUAGAAAUCAUUAGUUUUUCUGCCUUCUUUUGUUGUUAGGUUACUUAACCUACCACAAGCCAUUUGGAGGAAACCCGAUCUCUUCAUUAGUCCAUCAGAAAUCUGGACUGGAAUUUCACAUAAUUUGGAAAAGAAGCAUACUGAAGAACUUAAGCACAGCCAAAACCUCAGUACCCUCCCAAAGGUAUGACUCAUUCCACAGUCCUGCAUUCAUAGACAGCCACAGCAAAGGUCCUAGGCUUUGGCCAGCAUCUGUCUGCAGUGCAGGGUAUAAAGAGUUGCACAAACGGCAUGGAAAAAACAAAGGAAAACAAAAGGAUUUUUGAAAGGGAGUGAAAUACCCCUGUUACAAAUGAAAGAGAAAUAUAAAAACAGCCCCCUUUUUCUCAGAAUUGGUUAUGUUUCCCUAAUCUGGUGAAUUCCCCAUUAUCAAACCACAGUGAACCUUCAUUCAGCUCUUCACUCUCUGCAUCUUGUUGAGACAGAACCCGGCUAUUUUUACAUGUUUUCAAAGCCAAACAAUUUGAAAGUAACUAGACACAAAUGAGAUCACAGAUAACUAAAUAAUAAUAUAUGGCAUUGUCUUCCAGACACUGUCUGACAAGUUAAACUCUUUUUCCAAAGAAGCUGAAGAUAGAAGACAAUAGAGCUGUAGUUCACUGCACAAGGAAAGACACGAAUGUUAGUAUUUUGCAGCAUCUGGUUAAAAGUUUUGUUUUGUUUUUCUGAGUUUGUCAUUCAUGGCUCUGAAUUAUACAAGGAUCCACAGGGCUAAAAUCAGCAAUACUGGAAAGAAAUAACCAUAUUGCCUAUGGUUGCUUGUUUCUCUGUUGUUGGCCUAUUAAACUUACAAUAACCUUUGGAUAUUAAACUGGCUUCUGUUACACUACUUCAUUAUGCUCAACAAGUUGUUAACACUACAAGGUAGCUCUUUGUUGUAUUCAUCCUAGGGUGCUGCCAGACCACUGCAAACUCAAGUCUGAGACUGGCUUUUCUAUUUAGCUUAAAUUGCAUUGCUCAGAACAAGCAAUAUGCAAAAUUAAAAAAAAAAAAAAAAAAAAGACAUGCAAAAAUGUCUAAGGCAGAAAACAAGUAGACAAAAAAAAUUAAAAGUAUGAUCAGGACUCAUUAAGAAGUCUUGCUUAUUGAUUUCCACUUUACACAAGACUUGAAUUUACUAAUUUAAUACGUGCUGUAUCCCCCUUCUUAAUUAAGACACAUCAGGUAAUACUACAACAACAUCCUAUUUAGCCUUUUGUUUUGAGACAAAAGAAAUAGGCUUUUAUUAGAUCAAUUACUGAUGCAGUUCACUGGCGAUCUAUAGAAGGUCAAAACAACAUGGCAUUGCUACUUAUUUAACUUCACACAAUGACUUCAGCCAGAAACUCCUUUACUUUUUUGCCUCAUCUCAGCAAUAGUGCAUUCUAAAAUAACGUGGAGUAGAGACAAAGACAAGUUUUUCUUCAUGAAUCAUAGGCAAGAAGUUAGAUUCAGUUAUACACCUUUGCAGCUUUAUGCUAUUCUACCAAGGCCAAGUAGCUAAACUUAGAGAGCAUCUCAGCUGUUCAAAGCAAACGAAAAUAAUUGCAUAGUUCCAACUGACAAAAUAAAGCAGCUCUCCUGUUGGAGAGACAGGAAUUACAACAGGAAAAAUAUCUGAAAGGAAAAGGCCAUUGACUGUAUUAGUAAUAUUUACAUUACCAAAAUUAGCAAUAAGACUAUUUCAGAAAUCCUUAACAUUUUCCAUGUUGCUUUCUACCACAAAAGUGAUUGGUAAAUUCUCCUGCCAUUUAAUAAUGAAAAAGGGAAGAUGGAUGUCAGUGUUGUGAAGCUGUUUGUAAGCAUUAUAUUCUGAACUCACACCACAUCAUGAUUACAUGAUGAGACAACUCAAAAAAAAAUUUUUUUUAAAUAUAUAUCACUCCCACAAAAAUCAACCAAAAAUAUAUGAGGCCAAAUUCUGCACUGAUUUACACCAUGAGACAUCAGAAGUGAAUGGGAGCACACUGACUGCUA